This 603-nucleotide long non-coding RNA is filed under the name Pan troglodytes (chimpanzee). RNAcentral describes it as "lincRNA". Lineage: Eukaryota; Metazoa; Chordata; Mammalia; Primates; Hominidae. The record is from RNAcentral.
CCUGGCCGUGGGGUCAGCUGCAUAGGCCAGGAGCUCGAGGGUGGUGGCUGGCAGAAAGUGCAGUCCAAAGUGCUCUGUUUUGUUUUGAUUGUGUUUUAAAAUGGGACAAAUAACAGCAUGUGUGUUUGCUGAUGGGGAGAAUCCAGGAGAAAAACAGUGAAGUUGAGGUGAGCCUCACAGGGUCAGGGGGAAGACAGGGGAUCCCGAAGAUAACGUCUGCUACGAACUCAAUUGCAUCCGCCCCAGGCCCUACGUGGAAGCCCUAAUCCCCACGGUGACUGCAUUUGGAGAAGGACCUUCAGCACAUGAUGGAGGGACCGAGAUGCCCAAAUCCUGGCCCUCCUGCUGGACUUUCAUUUUAAAGAACAAUAAAAUUAAUGUUAACUUCUAGCAGCUUCCAAGCUCUGCGGCCCCGGAGAGGGUCAGCGAGGGGCCUCCACUGUCUGAGUCCGCUCCUGGCAACGCCUGCUCUCUGCACUCAGAGGCCCGGUCCCGGCAGCUGCCACGUUGCUCAGAAGUUCUGGCAGGGGGAGCCUGAAACCCCUGUCUGCUGGCGACACUCCCGGAGCGGCAGGAAAUCUCUACAUUUUAUUUUUUUUCUUA